Molecule: unclassified non-coding RNA, 240 nt
Filed under: soil metagenome
Description: partial contains 5.8S ribosomal RNA, internal transcribed spacer 2, and large subunit ribosomal RNA
Source: RNAcentral
AACGCACGAGACCUGCGGACCUGCGGAAGGAUCAUUACCGAGUUUACAACUCCCAAACCCAACGUGAACGUUACCAAACUGUUGCCUCGGCGGGAUCUCUGCCCCGGGUGCGUCGCAGCCCCGGACCAAGGCGCCCGCCGGAGGACCAACCAAAACUCUUUUGUAUACCCCCUCGCGGGUUUUUAUAUCUGAGCCAUCUCGGCGCCUCUCGUAGGCGUUUCGAAAAUGAAUCAAAACUUU